This 439-nucleotide ribosomal RNA is filed under the name uncultured bacterium. RNAcentral's name for it is "partial 16S ribosomal RNA". It matches the Rfam family "Bacterial small subunit ribosomal RNA", at positions 339 to 795 of the family's 1533-position model. The record is from RNAcentral.
CUACGGGCGGCUGCAGUGGGGAAUAUUGCACAAUGGGGGGAACCCUGAUGCAGCAACGCCGCGUGGAGGAUGACACAUUUCGGUGCGUAAACUCCUUUUAUAUAAGAAGAUAAUGACAGUAUUAUAUGAAUAAGCACCGGCUAACUCCGUGCCAGCAGCCGCGGUAAUACGGGGGGUGCAAGCGUUACUCGGAAUCACUGGGCGUAAAGAGCAUGUAGGCGGGUAGAAAAGUUGGAAGUGAAAUCCUAUGGCUUAACCAUAGAACUGCUUCCAAAACUCUUUACCUAGAAUAUGGGAGAGGUAGAUGGAAUUUCUGGUGUAGGGGUAAAAUCCGUAGAGAUCAGAAGGAAUACCGAUUGCGAAGGCGAUCUACUGGAACAUUAUUGACGCUCAGAUGCGAAAGCGUGGGGAGCAAACAGGGUUAGAUACCCUAGUAGUC